Non-coding RNA from Lupinus albus (white lupine), 240 nucleotides. The record is from the annotation of a GenBank genome assembly. Lineage: Eukaryota; Viridiplantae; Streptophyta; Magnoliopsida; Fabales; Fabaceae.
UCUCAUUGAUGAGACGGAUUUGAAGGAAUUUGUCAUUAUUCGCACACAAGACGACACUUUCUUGUAAGUCAUGAAAAUCGCAAGAGAGCAUCUAAACCAUUGUAUCCAUAUAGAGCUUCUCGAUCGGGAUAUAGAGGAGUCGAGGAAAUAAUUGUACACAUGGCUGAUCCUAAGUUUGGAAGUGGUGCCGGUGGAACUUGCGAAGUCGCCAAAAACCAAACCCAACACUCACCGAGGUAA